Vidua macroura (Pin-tailed whydah) is the source of this 4886-nucleotide long non-coding RNA. RefSeq lists it as uncharacterized. Lineage: Eukaryota; Metazoa; Chordata; Aves; Passeriformes; Viduidae. The record is from RefSeq and is a predicted model, not a curated record. The transcript has 3 exons.
GGGAUUAUCAUGGGGAUUGGGAUUAAUGACGGCUAUAGGAGCGAUACUGGGGCUUCUUUAGCUCCCGCCUGAACCCCAGCAGUGCUCAGGCACGGACUGGGGGAGAAAUGCCCUAAAAAAAGGGGAGUGAGCCUUGGUGCCAGUGUUUUAUGACUCACUGGGGCCUCUGACCAACGCUUUGCCCAGGAUGGCUCCGUGGAAAAGCCCAGGACAGGCUGUAGGGCUGGUCCUGGCCUGUAAGGCUGAGAGGAAAAGCAGAACCGAGUUAGCAGAGUUGGAAAAACAGCAUAAUCCAGGAGCGUUGGUGGCUCCUGGGCGCGACACGAGCUGGCCCAGUCACGGGGCCCGGCUCCCUGUGGAACUGGUUGGAGCCGGCUGAUCAGGUAAUUCUCUCGAUGUGAGGCUGCACAACAAGCCCUGUGAUGAAAUGCUGACAUUUGAAAUUCAAAUGGUUGUUUACUCGCCUCCAGAACAGGAAGCUUUGAUCAGUUAUGAAGCAGUCACCGUCUGUGAACUGAUGUGGAAACGUGCCUUGGCAGCUUUAUCUACUGCUCCCUCAGUGAAACCAGAUGACCUUGUUAAAUCCUCCACUCACAAAGCAUCAGCACGUGUCUGAUGGGCAAGAUUCACUACAGAGCUGCUCUAUUUCCCCCUAAAAACAGCUCAAACCCAGACAAAAAUACUAAACCACCAAGAAAAAAAGAGAAAAACCAAACCCCAACAACAGAAUCCUUUUGCUUUCCUUUCUCCUAACAGGGUUUCUAGCACCUCCUGGUUUACAGUAAAAAGGAAAUAAAUCAUCCUACCAAUAAUUACUCAAAAUGCAGGAACAGGAAGAGGGAAGAAUGGUAACUGGAAAGUUCAGAAAGCUCCAUGGCAAUAAACAACGUUGGAAAUAUCAUUUUGGCUACAUAAAUUUAGGACAAAAGGCAGAGUUGGGCAAUUCCCGUUUGUUUGCUGCCAGUUCUGCUCAGCAUUUCCAACAUGGGUUUUGUUUGGUGCUGCCAAGGAGGCUGAAUGUUUGCUCCAAGGCUGGCCUGUGCUUGCUGCACAUCCCAGGCACUCUUCCCCAGGGAAAGGCCAUGAGUGACUGAUAUUUACAAAUAUGAAAGGCCACAUCUGUCAAGCUGGAGAUUAAUGUAAAGCCUGGGCAGUGUUAAAGCACAUCACACAUUUACUAAGGAUUUUAGGGUGCCUGUUUCUCUUUUUAACAUUCCUCUAGAUGGAAAAAUAGCAAUUUCUGUAUUUUUUCUUUCCUUUCUAUGUAAACCAGAAAGCACAGGUGCCCUCUCUUUUUUUUUUUUUCCUAAAUAUGGCUAAAUCUAUGGUGUGGCUGUACAAAGCACAUGCAUUUAACAAACUUUCCCCUGGUAGCUGUAGGUGAAUAAAAAACCAUUGAGCAGCUGUCUCUGAGCUGUAUAUAAAUAAAUGCAGAGCUGAAAACCCAGAAAUCUGUAUCUUGUGACUGCUCUGACCACAGGUGGCUACAGCCUUUGCCAGGGCACGGGGCCUGCAGUUGGGAACACACAUUUCUUCUCAAAAGUAGGUCACUGGGCAGUGGUACAGAGCAACCUACUUUCAGGAGAGAAGAAUCUGGGGUCAGGGAAAUGUUUCCAAGGAAUCUGUACAUUCUGGAACACAAGCUGGGUCUGGUUUUUAUGUAGGCUAAUGUUCUAGCAACGAGGUAUCAUUUUUACAUGAGGCAAUCUGUUUAUCUUUAGCUACCAGGUUUACCUUGGGACAGCCAGCCAGGCCAUCACAGGGUGUGUGGCAAGUCCAGUUACUGCUCUUUGUUCAGACAAAAAUAGGGCUGCUUGCCACAGGGGGAAAAAAAAAAAUAUAUCUAUAUAUACAUAUAUACAUAUUCCUAUCUCCUAACAUUACUCACACCUGCCUCUCACUGUGUAUGAUGCAGUGUAAUUAUAUUUACAGUUGUGGAGAUAAAUAUAAAUAUUGUCUCCCUGUAGCAGUGCAGGAAGGUCCAGGCUUGGAUCAGGUUCCACCCACGAGACAAACAGACCCGUGGCAUGUCACUGCUUGUCCUCAGGCUGCCAGCCUGGAGGGUUACACAAAUAGUGAGUCAGAAUUCAAAGUACUGUGAGAUUGACUGUGAUAUUCUGAGAUUACCAAAAAAAGGCAACUCCCUCGGUUUUGUUUUGAUAGCUUUAUGCUAAAAAUAAAUUCACUAAACAAAGUUUUUAAGAAGCCACCGACUUCAGGAGCUAAGAAAAACAAAUUUUAAGAAAAACAAAUAGAUUGGUAGUAAAAAGAUGAAAAUUAGUGAUACUCCUCGGUCUCCCUGCUUGUCUAAAGCGUAUUUUAACUUUGUAGGACACGUGGGAUUCAGCUUUCAGAGCUGUGCUGCCACGAUAAACAGGCUUGGGCACCUCUGGGUGACGCAGAGGGACAUGUGACAGCUCUGCUGGAAGGAGACGUCCAAAGGGGAUUUUGUAAAGGGCUGAAAUCACAGGUUUGUGCCUGCGUGUUGUGCCAGUGAAAGCAACAGCUUUAACUAAUAACUAGGUCUGUUCUACAGCUCCUUGUCUGCAUCUCUCACUCUGCCUCCUGCCUGAAUGGUUUGGAUCCGGUCCAAGCUGCAGUGCAGGGACGGAGCUGCUUUGUUCACCUCCUCUGCUGCCUCUGAGCGCAUUCGGCUUGCGCUUUCCGGGGUGAGGUUUUCCAGCAAAACAGCAGAGAAGUUCCUUGGGAAACAGGCAGACAGAAGAAGAAAUGGCCGAAGAAACAGGCAGAAGAAAGAGUCCUAAGCUGUUGUUAAUCAUUGUGUGUCCAACAGAAGCUCUGUAACAGUGAACACAAACAAACACCGUCAAGGCCCUUCUGAUCAGCCCGGGGGUGUCACCUCCUACAUUUUGUUUUCAGAUCCAGCUUGGGUCCUUUGAUGGUGAGGAAAACGUCUGGAAUGUUUCCCCCUCCACCACAGGGAGACUCAAACCCAAGCACUGCCAUUUCCCCCCCUGAACAAACCAUGUACUUUGAACCACCUCAGUUUAUUUAAGUGUGCUGUCAGCUGUACACAACUCCUAGUUCCCUGCUUAUUAGAUAUAAAAAACUUCCACAGUUCCUAAUUCUCUUUUACCCACAAACAUGUAGCUGCUUUUGGUGCUGCUUUGGGGAUAAAAUUGCUCUUACAGGCAGAAUUUCAAUGCUGGCUGUGAGCCAGGCCUGCAGAGCUGAGUCAUUGUUAUACAAGCAGAGCUGAGAUGGCGCAGAAAAGCCCCUUUGUACUUUAACACCGAACACGUCAGCUGCUGCUGGCCUUUCAGCAUCACAAGACACCUACACAGAACAAACUGCAAUUUACUGGACUUUUCCUCUUGUCCACCUCGUCCAUCAUCUGUCUGGAUAUUUCUUCCUGCUCCAUUCUGCCUCUCAAGCUGAACAGCAAAUGCAUUUUUCAUCAAGCUUUUGGCCUCUCCUGAAGCCUGGCAAACACUGCAUCAGCUUUGGAAACAGUGAAAUGAGAGCUGGUAGCUCUGGGCACUGGGAAGGUGCUGCCCAGAUAUACACUGACAAUACGUUUGACCACUGAAAUUUAGGACUUUCAGCUCAAAAUAUCUGUAACAUUUAUCAUCAUCCAGAGUUCCACCUUAAAGGUCUGGAAUUGAUUAUUUAUGUGAGACUCGGUUUUGUGUUCUGAGUCCUUAGUGAUAAAAUAUGAAGCAAAUGAAAAAAGAGAAACAAUUUAUUUACUAUGGCAUUUUGCACUUCCAUUUUUGUCCUCCAGUUCCUUAUUCUGAGAUAUCACAGGAGAAGAGAAUUUAGCUUCUCAGAACAGCUUCUGCAUUUAAAAUAAAGUGAACUAAUUGUGGAGAGGAACAGAGAGUGACAGAUUUGCAGAUAUUACAUGGACAAAUUCCCUCCAGUUUGCUCCUGGAACUGCUUUUUUGAGUGCUGGUGGCUCCUGUCAUUGGGUCAUUUGUAUGAAUCGACAUAAUGAGCCCCUAAAAUGAACUCCUAAAAUUGCCCUCUGGCUUUCAGUGUGUUGAGUUCAGUGGUUUUGGGACAGGACGGACCAUGAGUGGUGCUGGCCAUACCCCAGGGGAGAAGAAUCCCUGCUGCAGCCAGCACAGGCUCAGUUUCAGUGCCUCCCCAGUUUCACCUCAGUGACUUUUUCCUCCCAAAAUACGAGGUGACUGACAUGUAAUCCGGUUUGACUAAAGGUCUGGGAGUGGCUCAGAUCAGGAGCUGCAGAUGAAUUUGUCGCACAGCGUGUAUUCUCGUGCUUCCAUGGGAGUGAGUAACCAGAGCGGAGAUUCACACAGGGGAUAACAGGAAAUUGUAACUUGGUGCCCUUUCCUAUCGUCAGGGAGGUGCUGAGGCACAGGAUUCUUAAGCAAAUCCUGGCAUGCGCCAUCUCAGGAGGCAGCCUGAACACCAGUCACAUCUUUUUAAAGCUCUUUUCCAGACCGGAGUGCUGAUGGAUGUUUAUUCAUCACUGCCCUGCUUUGCCAUGUUCCUGACUGCCACAGGACCCUUUGGUGCCUCUUUGCCUCUCAAGACUCAGCUCACUUGUUUACAUCUUUCCCCUUCUUGGAAAGAACAAGACAUUAAGUUCUGUUGACUACAAAUUCUUGAUUAUAUGUCAAACAAAAGAAGUUUCCAAUCCUGCAACACUGAGCACAAAGGUAACAAGGAGGAGAGGACACGGCCUCAAGCUGUGCGGGGGAGCUUUAGGGUGGAGAUGAGGAAAAGAUUUUUUUCACUGAGCGUUCUCCACGUUCUACACCAGCCCCUCCCGGUGCCGCCCGGUCCUGCCGUGUCCCCUCAGCCCCUCCUGUGUCCCCUCAACCCUCCUGUGUCCCCUCAACUCCCCUGUGUCCCCUCAGCCCCUCCCGUGUCCACUCCCGUGUCCCCUCAGUCCCCCC